Molecule: non-coding RNA, 1025 nt
Organism: Parasteatoda tepidariorum (common house spider)
Lineage: Eukaryota; Metazoa; Arthropoda; Arachnida; Araneae; Theridiidae
Source: RefSeq, a predicted model, not a curated record
UUUAAACCUUUUAAAAGCUACACAUUUUUAAAAAAAAGAAAAACAUGUAGAUGUUUGCCCGGGGGUGGCUAUGUGGCCUGGACUGUAACUAAUAAAAAAUUGUCAAGACUAAUUUUUUUUUUUAUAGCACUUUAUGUAAACAGUUAUUGUUCAAACUAAAGAAUAUAUUUUACAAAUGCAAUACGAAGAAGACAGUUUGUCACAUUUUAUCUUAUGCUUUUUAUGUUUAUCAUAAAUAUUUUUGUCGCAAUGAAUUAGGGGAUAUUAUCAUAAUAUGAUAUUUUUCUAAACUAUUUACAUCAUUCAUCACAAGGAGGAUCACCACACAAGGAUCUUUUCUAGUAAGUGCCCCUCUGACUGUCAUGUUUUUUACAUAUAUUAGUGCCAAAAAAUCAGCUAUUAGAGAAAAUUAAUCUUCUUUAGAGGGAAGUGCUGUACACUAUAGCAAAACUAAUGGAAAAGCGAAAUCAUAUAUAUGUAAUUACCUUUUUUAUAAAAUACCUCUUUUAAUAACCUGGGAAAUUAUAAGUAGAAAAGUUUCUAAAUAACAAGUUUGUAGGAGUUAUUAUUUUAGACUUUUACUACCCUAUCCAGUUAUUAUUAUAACCAUUCAGAUGAAUUGAUCCCAAACAAUAUCUGGACCAAAUUCACAAUUAGGUUAAAAGUUAUUUCAUGAUGAGAAACAAAAUUUAUUAAAAGCUUAUUGGUUUAAAGAAAACGAAAAACAAAAGUUUUAUCUUAAUUUUAAGAGCACUUUUAAUACCUGUUUGCAAAAGAUAAUUAAACAGAAAUGUUUCAUUACAAAAUGAAAAAAUAUGAAAUGAAGCACCACCUUCACAAAAAAAAAACAAUUAGCAAUUACUAAUAGCUUCUUGCCAACUGUCAUGCAAUUUUUUUUAUUUAAAAUAAGUUAACAACUAGCUGUGAUUGCACCUUAGUUCUUUGUUCAGGAUUGCCACAGGCGACUAAAAUGCAACUAUUUUCAGCAUGAGGCGAGAAUGGAAACCUUUUUUGGCUAAAAAAGC